UACGGGAGGGAGCUAGCGUUGUUCGGAAUUACUGGGCGUAAAGCGCGCGCAGGCGGUCUUCCAAGUCAGUGGUGAAAGCCCGGAGCUCAACUCCGGAAUUGCCAUUGAAACUGUUGGGACUUGAGGAUGAGAGAGGUGAGUGGAAUUCCCCAGUGUAGAGGUGAAAUUCGUAGAUAUUGGGAAGAACACCGGUGGCGAAGGCGGCUCACUGGCUCAUUACUGACGCUCAGGCGCGAUAGCGUGGGGAUCAAACAGG
RNAcentral lists this ribosomal RNA (256 nucleotides) under uncultured bacterium. RNAcentral's name for it is "partial 16S ribosomal RNA". It matches the Rfam family "Bacterial small subunit ribosomal RNA", at positions 524 to 776 of the family's 1533-position model. The record is from RNAcentral.